RNAcentral lists this unclassified non-coding RNA (546 nucleotides) under Hevea brasiliensis (rubber tree). The record is from RNAcentral. Lineage: Eukaryota; Viridiplantae; Streptophyta; Magnoliopsida; Malpighiales; Euphorbiaceae.
GGGGCCAUUACUGGCUCAAGCUGAUGCUGAGGGUUAUGUUAGAGUUCACAAACUUGAAUCUUGUUUGGAUGAAUCACAAGUUCCUGGGAAUAGUUUACUGGAGAUAAGCGACGAACAUGUCAGUUCCUCUAUGUGUUUGUGUAUAGACUGGAAUCCAUCAGCUACAUCCCUUGCUGUGGGGCUUUCAGAUGGAACAGUCUCGAUAAUUUCAUUCCUCGAGUCUCAGCUGAGCAUUUCCAGAGACUGGAAAGCGCAUGACUUUGAAGUUUGGGCUGCCUCUUAUGAUAUCCACCAACCACAGUUGGUGUAUACAGGUUCAGAUGACUGCAAAUUUAGUUGCUGGGAUUUGCGAGAUGAUCCCUCUACCAUAGCAUUCCAAAACAGAAAAGUUCACACAAUGGGAAUUUGCUGCAUUACUAAGAGCCCAAAUGACCCUUAUACCUUACUCACCGGUAGCUAUGAUGAACACCUAAGGGUAUGGGAUGUAAGAUCAACCGCAAAACCUGUACAUGAGACGUCAAUCUCCUUAGGUGGAGGGGUUUGGAG